GUGCUCACUUGGGCAGCACAUAUACUAAAAUUGGAACAAUACAAAGAAGAUUAGCAUGGUUCUUGCACAAGAAUGACUUGUAAAUUUGUGAAGCCUUCCAUAUUUUU
Molecule: small nuclear RNA, 107 nt
Organism: Ictidomys tridecemlineatus (thirteen-lined ground squirrel)
Lineage: Eukaryota; Metazoa; Chordata; Mammalia; Rodentia; Sciuridae
Source: Ensembl